GACGAACGCUGGCGGCGUGCUUAACACAUGCAAGUCGUACGGUAAGGCCCUUGCGGGGGUACACGAGUGGCGAACGGGCGAGUAACACGUGAGUAACAUGCCCACCACUUUGGGAUAACGCUAGGAAACUGGUGCUAAUACUGGAUAUGUGCUCCUGCUGCAUGGUGGGGGUUGGAAAGCUCCGGCGGUCGUGGAUGGACUCGCGGCCUAUCGGCUUGUUGGGGGGGUAGUGGCCUACCAAGGCGGCGACGGGUAGCCGGCCUGUGAGGGUGACCGGCGACAUUGAGACUGAGAUACGGCCCAGACUCCUACGGGAGGCAGCAGUGGGGAAUAUUGCACAAUGGGCGCAAGCCUGAUGCAGCAACGCCGCGUGCGGGAUGACGGCCUUCGGGUUGUAAACCGCUUUCAGCAGGGACGAAGCUUUUUGUGACGGUACCUGCAGAAGAAGCACCGGCUAACUACGUG
RNAcentral lists this ribosomal RNA (465 nucleotides) under uncultured bacterium. RNAcentral's name for it is "partial 16S ribosomal RNA". It matches the Rfam family "Bacterial small subunit ribosomal RNA", at positions 28 to 507 of the family's 1533-position model. The record is from RNAcentral.